CGUGAACUGGUCAACGCUGGUUAUAUUUAUGUUUAAGUUGCUAAAAUCACAACUUCAUUGUUUGUAGAGAGAGACGCACAGACACAGAUCCCCAAACAACAAUGCUAUUUAUAUAUAGUAUUGUUGAUUCAAGUCAAGGCACCAGACGCCUCCAGGACUUGCAGGGCUGCAAGACGCCAAAGCCUGAAUGAACUGAUGGAAAGGCCAAUCUUGUCAGCCUCCGAGACGCAAAGCUGACUGAAGACAGAAAACAACAGGGUGGCCGUGACAAGAGUUGUUUCUGAGAUGUGCAAAGUUUUGAAGUGAAGAAAAUAUAAACCUGAAGUCCAUCCUUGCAGCGAGUCCCUUCAUAAACACUACCACAUCCUCCUUCACCCAACUUGCAGCCGACUGUAUACUUGCAAAUGUGGCCUAAUAACAGACAAACAAUUGUGGAUGUCCUGCACAAGCCGUUCCUCAGCAGUGAGGAGGACUUCCUCCGUUCUCUCUCCAUCAGUCUCAGCAGCUCCAGCAGGCUCCUCAUCAGGUGGAUUAGGAUGAUGGCUGCCUGACCUUGAGAGUCAUAUGUUCCAGCACUGCAGCAAGGAAAGUGAAGAGUGGGCCACUUCCAGAAGCUCUUCUUCUUCUUCUCCGUUCUCUCUCCAUCAGUCUCAGCAGCUCCAGCAGGAGCCUCAUCAGGUGGAUUAGGUUGACGGUUCUCUGCCAUGAUGGGGGAAAGUACAGAGGGACAUCCUGUUUCUGCUGUUCCUCAACAGCGGGGAGGACUUCAAGAGCUGGAGCUAUAAUAUGAAUUCAAUAAAAAAUAAUAUAAGUAAAAUAUUAA
Long non-coding RNA from Carassius auratus (goldfish), 823 nucleotides. RefSeq lists it as uncharacterized. NCBI's taxonomy places the organism in Eukaryota, Metazoa, Chordata, Actinopteri, Cypriniformes, Cyprinidae. The transcript has 6 exons. The record is from RefSeq and is a predicted model, not a curated record.